AGCACUAUAUUUAAACUGUGGACGGGAACCCUCCCUGUUCUUGGUUACGCUGUAGUGCGAAAGGAUUCCUUGGCCUGCUGUGCUGCACACGGAUUGUCUGUCAGUCUGCUGUCCUGCCUGGUGCCAAGAAACAUGU
This 136-nucleotide small nucleolar RNA is filed under the name Erinaceus europaeus (western European hedgehog). RNAcentral's name for it is "Small nucleolar RNA SNORA46 (ENSEEUG00000019590.1)". The record is from RNAcentral. Lineage: Eukaryota; Metazoa; Chordata; Mammalia; Eulipotyphla; Erinaceidae.